GUGGCUAUAGCUCAGUUUGGUUAGAGCGACGGGUUGUGGUCCCGUAGGUCGUGGGUUCAAGUCCCAUUAGCCACCCCA
This 78-nucleotide transfer RNA is filed under the name Candidatus Nomurabacteria bacterium. RNAcentral describes it as "tRNA-His". It matches the Rfam family "tRNA". From Rfam's summary of the family: Transfer RNA (tRNA) molecules are approximately 80 nucleotides in length. Their secondary structure includes four short double-helical elements and three loops (D, anti-codon, and T loops). The record is from RNAcentral. Lineage: Bacteria; Candidatus Nomuraibacteriota.